This 253-nucleotide ribosomal RNA is filed under the name uncultured bacterium. Its description in RNAcentral is "partial 16S ribosomal RNA". It matches the Rfam family "Bacterial small subunit ribosomal RNA", at positions 524 to 776 of the family's 1533-position model. The record is from RNAcentral.
GACGAACCGUGCGAACGUUAUUCGGAAUAACUGGGCUUAAAGGGAGCGUAGGCGGGCUAUCAAGUCUGGGGUGAAAUGCCGCGGCUCAACCGUGGAACUGCCUCAGAUACUGACGGCCUCGAGGGGGAUAGGGGCAUGCGGAACUGUAGGUGGAGCGGUGAAAUGCGUUGAUAUCUACAGGAACUCCGGUGGCGAAAGCGGCGUGCUGGAUCCCUUCUGACGCUGAGGCUCGAAAGCCAGGGGAGCAAACGGG